GAGACUAUCUUCAGCAUCACAAAUUCUAAAAUUCAAAUGAUACAGAGAAGAUAAAUAUGGCCCCUGCACAAAGAUGCAUGCAAAUUCAUGAAGCAUUCCAUAUUUUU
Molecule: small nuclear RNA, 107 nt
Organism: Sarcophilus harrisii (Tasmanian devil)
Lineage: Eukaryota; Metazoa; Chordata; Mammalia; Dasyuromorphia; Dasyuridae
Source: Ensembl